RNAcentral lists this ribosomal RNA (986 nucleotides) under Streptomyces euryhalinus. Its description in RNAcentral is "partial 16S ribosomal RNA". The stretch from base 10 to 316 matches the Rfam family "Bacterial small subunit ribosomal RNA", at positions 567 to 869 of the family's 1533-position model. Lineage: Bacteria; Bacillati; Actinomycetota; Actinomycetes; Kitasatosporales; Streptomycetaceae. The record is from RNAcentral.
ANUUUCANNACUUUUCGUCUGGCUACACCUUUAAUUAAAAUUCCUGAGCUUAACCCCGGGUUUGCAUUCUAUACUGGCAGGCUAGAGUUCGGUAGGGGAGAUCGGAAUUCCUGGUGUAGCGGCGAAAUGCGCAGAUAUCAGGAGGAACACCGGUGGCGAAGGCGGAUCUCUGGGCCGAUACUGACGCUGAGGAGCGAAAGCCGUGUGGAGCGAACAGGAUUAUAUCCCUGGUAGUCCACGCCGUAAACGGUGUGCACUAGGUGUGGGCGACAUUUCCACGUCGUCCCUUGCCGCAUUUAACCGCAAUUAAGUGCCCCCCCUCUUGGUGAGCACUGGCCCUCAUUGCCUUAAACUUCAAUGGAAAUUAGACGGGGGCCCGCACAAGCGGGCUGAACAUGUGGCCUUAAUAUUACUCAACUGUUUAAAAACCCUAACCAAUGGGGAGGACAUAGGAUNUCAUAUUAUUAUUUAGAAUCAUUUGUGCUCCCUUUUUUUGGCCAGUUAUACCUAGCGCGUUGUAUUAGGUUUUUCCUCAUUCUCUACUUUCUUAAGGAAGAUUGUAGUAAUAUUCUCCAAAUGUUUGCUCACCCUUUGAUUCUUUUUUUGCCAUCAUUCCCCUUGUGGUCGCUUGCGGGACCCAUUGUAAGAACCUUUUCCUGUUCAACACCCGUAUGAAAUUUGUUGAUCUACCUCUUAUUCUUUAUUUCCCCCUAUUUUAAUGAGCUUACCUAAUUUAAAAUUCCCUUCUCAAUUAUAUUCUAUACCCCCAGGGUUGUUGAAUUUCAAUAAUUUCUGUUUACAAUUGGAUUUUGGUUUUUUACCCCCCACUGAGGAAAAGUAGCUAGUUAUCGCAAAACGACCUCUGCGGGUGUAAAAAUAAAAGUAGAAAUAGACCAACGAGAAAGAUAUAAGAGCUGACUGUAACUUUCCAUGGAAUAUAAAAGUGUUGGAGUUAGAAAGGGNNNAAUNGAGGGANNANAAANNAA